This 396-nucleotide ribosomal RNA is filed under the name uncultured bacterium. RNAcentral describes it as "partial 16S ribosomal RNA". It matches the Rfam family "Bacterial small subunit ribosomal RNA", at positions 523 to 918 of the family's 1533-position model. The record is from RNAcentral.
AUACGAAGGGUGCAAGCGUUAAUCGGAAUUACUGGGCGUAAAGCGCGCGUAGGUGGUUUUGUAAGUUGGAGGUGAAAGCCCCGGGCUCAACCUGGGAAUUGCCUCCAAAACUGCAUGACUAGAGUACGGUAGAGGGUAGUGGAAUUUCCUGUGUAGCGGUGAAAUGCGUAGAUAUAGGAAGGAACACCAUUGGAGAAGGCGAUUACCUGGACUGAUACUGACAUUGGGGUGCAAAAGCGUGGGGACCAAACAGGUUUAUUGCCCUGGUGGUCCCACGCCGUAAACGAGGUCAACUAGCCGUUGGGAUCCUUGAGAUCUUAGUGGCGCAGCUAACGCAUUAAGUUGACCGCCUGGGGAGUACGGCCGCAAGGUUAAAACUCAAAUGAAUUGACGGGG